UACAGAGGUCCCAAGCGUUGUUCGGAUUCACUGGGCGUAAAGGGUGCGUAGGUGGUGAGGUAAGUCGGAUGUGAAAUCUCCGGGCUCAACCCGGAAAUGGCAUUGGAAACUACCUUGCUGGAGGAUUUGAGGGGGGAUUGGAAUACUUGGUGUAGCAGUGAAAUGCGUAGAUAUCAAGUGGAACACCAGUGGCGAAGACGAAUCCCUGGAAAAUACCUGACACUGAGGCACGAAAGCUAGGGGAGCGAACGGG
This 253-nucleotide ribosomal RNA is filed under the name uncultured bacterium. RNAcentral's name for it is "partial 16S ribosomal RNA". It matches the Rfam family "Bacterial small subunit ribosomal RNA", at positions 524 to 776 of the family's 1533-position model. The record is from RNAcentral.